Pimephales promelas (fathead minnow) is the source of this 405-nucleotide non-coding RNA. The record is from RefSeq and is a predicted model, not a curated record. Lineage: Eukaryota; Metazoa; Chordata; Actinopteri; Cypriniformes; Leuciscidae.
UUUAUUCUCCUUUUUAGGAUUAUGAAUGUGGCAGUGCAAAGAAUGCAGUUUGCAAUUAGCUAGCAGCGUGACAACAUCAACACCAGGAGGGAGUGUAUCCUGAGAUGCAUCAUCUACCUCAAUGAAGAUCCAGACACCAUCUUCAAAGAAUAUCUGGCACUGGCGACCGAGGAUGCAGAAAGGGACCUAGCAACCACAGUCAUGUGACCGGAAGUGAUGGGGAUCAGGAGCCUGAGGACGUUGGAGUUGUGGAGUCAAGUUCAUUCUAUUUGGCAUCAUUCACCAUGGUGAAACUCAAACAUCCAACAGGAAAAAAAAAACAUUUUUUGAUUGGAGGGGUUCUAAGGAAAUGAAGUUCAAAUGUAAAUGUAUUUCAAUAAAAAAUAAAAUAAAAAUAAAAAAACA